UACGGGGGGGGCAAGCGUUGUUCGGAAUUACUGGGCGUAAAGGGCUUGUAGGUGGCCAACUAAGUCAGACGUGAAAUCCCUCGGCUUAACCCGGGAACUGCGUCCGAUACUGGAAGGCUUGAAUCCGGGAGAGGGAUGCGGAAUUCCAGGUGUAGCGGUGAAAUGCGUAGAUAUCUGGAGGAACACCGGUGGCGAAGGCGGCAUCCUGGACCGGCAUUGACGCUGAGGCGCGAAAGCCAGGGGAGCAAACGGG
Molecule: ribosomal RNA, 253 nt
Filed under: uncultured bacterium
Lineage: Bacteria
Description: partial 16S ribosomal RNA
Rfam family: Bacterial small subunit ribosomal RNA
Source: RNAcentral